UACCUGGUUGAUCCUGCCAGUAGUCAUAUGCUUGUCUUAAGGAUUAAGCCAUGCAAGUCUAAGUAUAAGUAAACUUCACAGCGAAACUGCGAAUGGCUCAUUAAAACAGUUAUAGUUUAUUUGAUAAUUAUUAGAUGGAUAACUUUAGGAAAUCUAGAGCUAAUACAUGCCUUAAAGCCGGAUGAUUUUUUCUGAAGGCCGUAUUUAUUAGAUAUAAACCAAUCGUGUAUCUUACACGUUUUGAUGAUUCAUAAUAACUUCUCUGACCGAUCCCCCUGGGUGAGGUAGAUCAUUCAAGUUUCUGCCCUAUCAGCUUUAGAUGGUAGUGUAUUGGACUACCAUGGCGAUCACGGGUAACGGAGAAUUAGGGUUCGAUUCCGGAGAGGGAGCCUGAGAAACGGCUACCACAUCUACGGAAGGCAGCAGGCGCGUAAAUUACCCAAUCCUGACUAAGGGAGGUAGUGACAAGAAAUAUCGAAUCGGGUGCCUUUGUGCAUUGCGAGUUUGAAAUGAGAACAAUCUAAAAAACUUAUCGAGGAGCAAUUGGAGGGCAAGUCUGGUGCCAGCAGCCGCGGUAAUUCCAGCUCGAUAGC
Molecule: ribosomal RNA, 593 nt
Filed under: uncultured marine eukaryote
Lineage: Eukaryota
Description: SSU rRNA
Rfam family: Eukaryotic small subunit ribosomal RNA
Source: RNAcentral